GAUUAACGCUGGCGGCGUGCAUAACACAUGCAAGUCGAACGAUGAAACUUUACUGACUUCUUCGGAAAGAUUUAAAGUGGAUUAGUGGCGGACGGGUGAGUAACGCGUGAGUAACCUGCCUUACACAAGGGGAUAGCCUCUGGAAACGGAGAAUAAUACCCUAUAAAGUCUAAUCAGCUCCUGCUGGAAAGACCAAAGAUUUAUCGGUGUAAGAUGGACUUGCGUCUGAUUAGCUAGUUGGUGAGAUAAAAGCUCACCAAGGCGACGAUCAGUAGCCGGCUUGAGAGAGUGUACGGCCACAUUGGGACUGAGACACGGCCCAAACUCCUACGGGAGGCAGCAGUGGGGAAUUUUGCACAAUGGGGGAAACCCUGAUGCAGCGACGCCGCGUGAUUUAGAAGGCCUUCGGGUUGUAAAAAUCUUUUUUACGGGAUGAAAAUGACAGUACCGUAAGAAUAAGGUCCGGCUAAAUACGUGCCAGCAGCCGCGGUAAUACGUAUGGACCGAGCGUUGUCCGGAAUCAUUGGGCGUAAAGGGUACGUAGGCGGCCUAGUAAGUUAGAAGUGAAAGAAUAUAGCUCAACUAUAUAAAGCUUUUAAAACUGUUAGGCUUGAGAGAUGAAAGGGAAAGUGGAAUUCCUAGUGUAGCGGUGAAAUGCGCAGAUAUUAAAAAGAAUACCGGUGGCGAAGGCGACUUACUGGGCUCAUUCUGACGCUGAGGAACGAAAGCGUGGGCAGCAAACAGGAUUAGAUACCCUGGUAGUCCACGCUGUAAACGAUGAGUGCUAGGUAUCGGAAUAAUUCGGUGCCGCAGUUAACACAUUAAGCACUCCGCCUGGGGAGUACGUGCGCAAGCAUGAAACUCAAAGGAAUUGACGGGGACCCGCACAAGCAGCGGAGCAUGUGGUUUAAUUCGAAGCGACGCGAAGAACCUUACCAGGGCUUGACAUACUGAGGACCGGUAUAGAGAUAUACCCUCUUCUUCGGAAGCCUCAAUACAGGUGGUGCAUGGUUGUCGUCAGCUCGUGUCGUGAGAUGUUCAGUUAAGUCUGGCAACGAGCGCAACCCCUAUCUUUAGUUACCAGCAUUUCGGAUGGGGACUCUAAAGAGACUGCCGAUGAUAAAUCGGAGGAAGGUGGGGAUGACGUCAAAUCAUCAUGCCCUAUAUGCCCUGGGCUACACACGUGCUACAAUGGAAGAUACAAAGGGAAGCGAGAUAGUGAUAUUAAGCCAACCUCAAAAAGUCUUUCCCAGUUCGGAUUGUACUCUGCAACUCGAGUACAUGAAGAUGGAGUUGCUAGUAAUCGCAGAUCAGCAUGCUGCGGUGAAUGCGUUCCCGGGUCU
Molecule: ribosomal RNA, 1343 nt
Filed under: uncultured bacterium
Lineage: Bacteria
Description: 16S ribosomal RNA
Rfam family: Bacterial small subunit ribosomal RNA
Source: RNAcentral